GGAGCUUGCUCCCUGAUGUUAGCGGCGGACGGGUGAGUAACACGUGGGUAACCUGCCUGUAAGACUGGGAUAACUCCGGGAAACCGGGGCUAAUACCGGAUGGUUGUUUGAACCGCAUGGUUCAAACAUAAAAGGUGGCUUCGGCUACCACUUACAGAUGGACCCGCGGCGCAUUAGCUAGUUGGUGAGGUAACGGCUCACCAAGGCAACGAUGCGUAGCCGACCUGAGAGGGUGAUCGGCCACACUGGGACUGAGACACGGCCCAGACUCCUACGGGAGGCAGCAGUAGGGAAUCUUCCGCAAUGGACGAAAGUCUGACGGAGCAACGCCGCGUGAGUGAUGAAGGUUUUCGGAUCGUAAAGCUCUGUUGUUAGGGAAGAACAAGUACCGUUCGAAUAGGGCGGUACCUUGACGGUACCUAACCAGAAAGCCACGGCUAACUACGUGCCAGCAGCCGCGGUAAUACGUAGGUGGCAAGCGUUGUCCGGAAUUAUUGGGCGUAAAGGGCUCGCAGGCGGUUUCUUAAGUCUGAUGUGAAAGCCCCCGGCUCAACCGGGGAGGGUCAUUGGAAACUGGGGAACUUGAGUGCAGAAGAGGAGAGUGGAAUUCCACGUGUAGCGGUGAAAUGCGUAGAGAUGUGGAGGAACACCAGUGGCGAACGCGACUCUCUGGUCUGUAACUGACGCUGAGGAGCGAAAGCGUGGGGAGCGAACAGAUUAGAUACCCUGGUAGUCCACGCCGUAAACGAUGAGUGCUAAGUGUUAGGGGG
This 770-nucleotide ribosomal RNA is filed under the name Bacillus subtilis. Its description in RNAcentral is "bacterial SSU rRNA". It matches the Rfam family "Bacterial small subunit ribosomal RNA", at positions 75 to 830 of the family's 1533-position model. Lineage: Bacteria; Bacillati; Bacillota; Bacilli; Caryophanales; Bacillaceae. The record is from RNAcentral.